This 1788-nucleotide ribosomal RNA is filed under the name Triticum aestivum (bread wheat). Its description in RNAcentral is "partial small subunit ribosomal RNA". The record is from RNAcentral. Lineage: Eukaryota; Viridiplantae; Streptophyta; Magnoliopsida; Poales; Poaceae.
AUGGCACUGGCGCCGCGUCUGUCGCGCGCCCUCCGCCCCGUCCCCUCCCCCUCCCCCUCCGCCGCCGCCGCCGCCGCGCUCCUCGCCUCGACAUCGCCUCUCCCCGUACGCCGCUUCCUCCAGCUCCACGCGCACCUGCUCCGCACCGGCGUCCUCCCCCUCGCACCCGCCGCCGCCUCGGCCUUCCUUUCCCUCGCGGCCGCCUCCCUCCCGCCCCAUCGCGCGCUCGCCGUCCUCCACCACCACCUCACCCCGGCCUCCGUCCCCUCCACCUUCUGCUGCAACUCCAUCCUCUGCUCCCUCCCGGAGCCCAGCGCCCUCGGCUUCCUCCGCCGCAUGCGCGGCCUCGGGCGCCGCGGGAACGCCUUCUCCCUGGCCAUCAUCCUCAAGCCCUGCCGCACCCUCGCCCACGCGCGCCAGCUGCACGCCAACGUCGUGACCGAGGGCCACCUCCGCGACGCCCUCCUGGCCACCUCGUUGAUGCGGUCCUAUGCUACCUGUGGUGCCGGGGACAGCGCGCGUAAGGUGUUUGACGAAAUGCUUGUCAAGGACGCCGUCGCGUGGAAUGUUCUGAUCACUUGCUAUGCGAGGAAUAAGAGGACGAAGGAUACGCUGAGGCUCUUCGAUGAGAUGAGGAAAGGUGAUGGUGAGGCGGGGCCGGAUGAGGUGACCUGCAUUCUACUCCUCCAGGCAUGCACGAGCCUGGGCGCGCUCGACUUCGGGGAGAAGGUCUGGGAGUACGCGGUGGAACAUGGUUAUGGUGGCGAGCUGAAGGUGCGCAACUCAUUGAUCACGAUGUACACGAGGUGCGGGUGUGUGGAGAAGGCGUACCAGGUUUUCUGUGAGACUCCUCGGAAGAGUGUGGUCACAUGGAGUGCGAUGAUCUCUGGAUUUGCAGCCAAUGGCUUCGGGGAGGAUGCUAUCUCGGCAUUUGAGGAAAUGAGUAGAUCAGGUGUUGCUCCUGAUGCGCAGACUUUUACUGGUGUGCUCUCUGCGUGCAGCCAUAGUGGGCUGGUUGAUGAGGGUUUCAGGUUUUUUGAUAUGAUGCUCCGUGAGUAUCAGAUGAUGCCAAAUGUUCGCCAUUAUGGAUGCAUUGUUGAUCUAAUGGGCCGUGCUGGGUUGCUUGAUGAGGCAUACCAUCUUGUGGUUGAAGAGAUGAAGGUUGCACCUGAUGCAACGAUUUGGCGAACUCUUCUUGGUGCAUGCCGAGUUCAUGGUCAUGUUGAUCUUGGAGAGAAGGUCAUUAGUCAUCUAAUUGAACUGAAAGCGCAGCAAGCUGGAGAUUAUGUUCUCCUGUUAAAUACCUAUGCGGCGGUUGGGGAUUGGAUAAAGGUGGCGGAAGUUAGGAAGUUGAUGAAGGAAAAUGGAAUCCAAACUACUCCUGGCUGCACAACAGUAGAGCUUAACGGUGAGCUCCAUGAGUUUAUUGCAGAUGAUGAUUCACAUCCAAGGAAGGCUGAGAUUUACGGGAAGCUUGAUGAGAUAAACAGGCAUUUGAGAAUUGCUGGUUAUGUUCCAAAUGUGUCAUCUGAGUUGCAUGAUUUGGAUUCAGAGGGGAAGGAAUGUGCCCUGACCUAUCACAGUGAAAAGCUAGCAAUCGCUUUUGCUCUUCUUGUGAUGCCACAACGUAGACCAAUACGCCUGGCAAAGAAUCUUCGUGUUUGUGUAGAUUGCCACAAUUUCACAAAGGUAUUUUCUGGUGUUUAUAACCGAUUAGUGAUUGUAAGAGACAGAACUCGAUUUCAUCAUUUCGAGGGAGGCCAGUGUUCAUGCAAUGAUUAUUGGUAG